This 75-nucleotide transfer RNA is filed under the name Candidatus Doudnaibacteriota bacterium. RNAcentral describes it as "Candidatus Doudnabacteria bacterium tRNA-Lys". It matches the Rfam family "tRNA". Rfam says of the family: Transfer RNA (tRNA) molecules are approximately 80 nucleotides in length. Their secondary structure includes four short double-helical elements and three loops (D, anti-codon, and T loops). The record is from RNAcentral. Lineage: Bacteria; Candidatus Doudnaibacteriota.
GCGCUCAUAGCUCAACGGUAGAGCAGGGGCCUCUUAAGCCCAAGGUUGUAGGUUCGAGUCCUACUGGGCGCACCA